RNAcentral lists this unclassified non-coding RNA (377 nucleotides) under uncultured Actinomycetes bacterium. Its description in RNAcentral is "uncultured actinobacterium contains 16S-23S intergenic spacer region". The record is from RNAcentral. Lineage: Bacteria; Bacillati; Actinomycetota; Actinomycetes.
UCCGGUUUGGCACCGGCAGUCUCCCUAGAGUGCCCGGCAUGACCCGCUGGUAACUAGGGACGGGGGUUGCGCUCGUUGCGGGACUUAACCCAACAUCUCACGACACGAGCUGACGACAGCCAUGCAGCAUCUGUGGUGCACCCUCGAAGGUCACACGUUUCCGUGCGCUUGCAGCACCAUGUCAAGCCCAGGUAAGGUUCUUCGCGUUGCAUCGAAUUAAAGAACAUGCUCCGCUGCUUGUGCGGGCCCCCGUCAAUUCUUUUGAGUUUUAGCCUUGCGGCCGUACUCCCCAGGCGGGACACUUAUUGCGUUAGCUGCGGCACGGAGGGGGUCGAUACCCCCCACACCUAGCACCCAUCGUUUACGGCGUGGACUAC